CCUCCUUGGUGCCUCUCUUGUCUCUGUCCCUGAGGUCAGGUCCUUCACUGCUGGACACUGGGAGCCUCUGCAGAGACGCAUAGUGGAGCUCCUGCUCUGAGGACCCCUGGACCUGGGGCCAGGACAGAAGAGUUCCACUAUGUUGUCUAGGAUGGUCUUCAACCCCUGAGCUCAAGCUGUCUUCCUGCCUCAGCCUCACAACAGCUGGAAUGACAGACAGAAUCUCAGACUGUCGCCCAGGCUGGAAUGCAAUGGUGCGAUCUUGGCUCAC
Molecule: long non-coding RNA, 271 nt
Organism: Rhinopithecus roxellana (golden snub-nosed monkey)
Lineage: Eukaryota; Metazoa; Chordata; Mammalia; Primates; Cercopithecidae
Exons: 3
Source: RefSeq, a predicted model, not a curated record